Molecule: long non-coding RNA, 1635 nt
Filed under: Anas platyrhynchos platyrhynchos (common mallard)
Lineage: Eukaryota; Metazoa; Chordata; Aves; Anseriformes; Anatidae
Description: lncRNA (ENSAPLG00000027791.1)
Source: RNAcentral
GCAGAGGUUGUGGUGGUUCCACUCAAGUGGGCAGCCGAGCUCCACCACAGCAACUCUCUCACUCCCCCUCCUCAAAGAGGAAUGGGGAGAAAAUAUGAUGAAAAGGGCUCAAAGGUUGAGAUAAGGACGAGAAAAUCACACAGUAAUUAUUGUAACGGGCAAAACAGACUUGGCAUAGGGAGACAGUAAUAUUUAUUGCUUAUUACUAACAAGCUAGAGAAGUGAGAAACGAAGGAAAGAAACCAAAAGCACCUCCCCCCCCAUCCACCCUCUUCCACCUCCUCCCCCCGAGCGGUGCAGGGGAACGGGGGAAUGGGGGUUAUGGUCAGUCUACAGCACUUCUCUGCCGCUCCUUCUCGGUCACUCUCGUCCCCUGUGCUGUGGGGUCCCACCCACGGGAUGCAGUCCUUGAUGAACUGAUCCAGCGUGGGCUUCCCACAGGCAGCAGCUCUUCCAGAACUGCUCCAGAUAUGGGUCCGUACCAUGGGGUCCAUCCCUCAGGAGAAAACUGCUCCAACCUGGCUCCCCCACGGGCAGCAGCUCCUGCCAGGUCACCUGCUCCUGCAUGGGCUCCUCUCCACAGGCUACAGGUCUGGCCCGGAAUCUGCUCCGGCAGGGGUCUUCCACAGGCGGCAGCCUUCGUCGGUGCAGGGCCACCUGCUCCACCGUGGUCUCCUCCACGGGCUGCAGCGUGGAACCCUGCUCCACCGUGGUACUCCAUGGGCUGCAGGGGGACAUCCUGCUUCACCAUGGUCCUCACCACAGGCUGCAGGGGACUUCUGCUCCGGCGCCUGGAGCACCUCUCCCCCUCCUUCUUCACUGACCUUGGCACCUGCAAGGCCGUUCCUCACUCCUCUCACUCUCCCAGCUGCUGUGUGUGGCACAGCAUUUUUUUUCCCUGUCUUUCUUUCCCUGUCUUUUCCCUGCUCUCACAGAGGCGCAAAACAACAUCGCGUAUUGGUUCAACUCUGGUCAGCAGUGGGGCCCUUACCAAAUAUGGGGCAGCUUCUAGAUCCUUCUCACAGAAACCACCCCUAUGUUACCAAAACCACCCCCUGUUACCAAAACCUUGCCAUGUAAACCCACUACAGAGGUGCAGUUCUCUUCAGCGCACACUGCCAAGGGAUGGCACCUGUAGUCGAGGUCGGCUGCCUCGGAGCUGGCACAGCCGCAGCUGCAGCACCCGACCAUGCGUUUGGGGGGAUCUCAGGCCCUUGCUUCUCCAGGAGUGGUCUGGGACAGCAGCACAACCAGGCAGCACCUGCUGGCUCUCGCAAGAGAAGCUGACGGAGAGUGGGCAUUGCCAGGGCAACAGUGACUGCACCCAGGCCCUCUGCCUAGAAAAAACCUCCAGGAGGGUGAUGACGCAUUGCUGCCCACCAGGCACCGGGAAGGGUGACCAGCACAUGAGAACCACCCUCAGCAUGCUGCAGUGGUGGGUGUGGGAGCUCGUGCAGCAGGGCACAGGGAGUCUGUCCCUCCUCCCUUUUGAGUCCAUCCUAUCUACUGGCGGUCUCUAUGACCACAAUUUUUGCAAUGGUCUCCACCUGGCAGAGAGCUUGACCCAAAAAGACCGUGGCAACACAAACAGAGGGCCUGCCCAGAACCAUGGCUGUACAGGACUCUGGUUGCAGG